UGUGGCUCAGUUGUAGAGUACUUGUCUGAGCAUGCAAGAGGCCCUGGGUUCAAUCCCCAGUA
Molecule: transfer RNA, 62 nt
Filed under: Ictidomys tridecemlineatus (thirteen-lined ground squirrel)
Lineage: Eukaryota; Metazoa; Chordata; Mammalia; Rodentia; Sciuridae
Description: Spermophilus tridecemlineatus (thirteen-lined ground squirrel) tRNA
Rfam family: tRNA
About the family: Transfer RNA (tRNA) molecules are approximately 80 nucleotides in length.
Source: Rfam by way of RNAcentral